This 561-nucleotide long non-coding RNA is filed under the name Vulpes vulpes (red fox). Its description in RNAcentral is "lncRNA (ENSVVUG00000012636.1)". Lineage: Eukaryota; Metazoa; Chordata; Mammalia; Carnivora; Canidae. The record is from RNAcentral.
AGCUAAUUAGCUCUGAGACAGAGUUCCUGGAAAUACAAGACAAUGAGAGCUAUCUAAAUUCACAUCCUCUCUAUGGGCAAUCAUGCAACAUGAACCAAACUCAGAAAAGUUUUCUUUGACACAGAGCUGAGAAUAUAUAAAGCCAAUCCUACUCACCUUGGUCUUGGGACAUAUAAUAACACUGCUCUUUCCCAGUCUUUCUAAUCAGGUGAAACCAGGAUGAAAUGUCCAUCAAUGACAUCCAGCAAGGGAAAUAAUGUCAUAAGUUUGGGUAGAGAGGGAAAAAAGAACAAUGUGAUCAUGAGGAUUGCUCUACCAGCUGAGAUGCAUGACUGUGGUGCUCUGGAGGGUAAUAUCCUUAGUCCCUAAAGAUUCUAUCAAGCCAUUUAGGAAAUGCUGGCAGGAAGAGGCACACACAAACCUCGGCAGGGAGCAGACAAUUCACAAAUUUCUACAAUUCAAUCUUCAGUGCUAGUGGGCAUCAGAGCGUAAAGUGUCCCGGGUAUUCCCCUGUACAUCUCCUGAGAAUGAAUUGAGAGACCUGAAACAUUUCUGCAUUUA